RNAcentral lists this ribosomal RNA (545 nucleotides) under uncultured Pseudomonadota bacterium. RNAcentral's name for it is "bacterial SSU rRNA". It matches the Rfam family "Bacterial small subunit ribosomal RNA", at positions 57 to 649 of the family's 1533-position model. Lineage: Bacteria; Pseudomonadati; Pseudomonadota. The record is from RNAcentral.
GCAGUCGAGCGAGACCUUCGGGUCUAGCGGCGGACGGGUGAGUAACGCGUGGGAAUAUGCCCUUCGGUUCGGAAUAGCCCCGGGAAACUGGGAGUAAUACCGGAUACGGUCUACGGACGAAAGAUUUAUCGCCGAAGGAUUAGCCCGCGUUGGAUUAGGUAGUUGGUGGGGUAAUGGCCUACCAAGCCGACGAUCCAUAGCUGGUUUGAGAGGAUGAUCAGCCACACUGGGACUGAGACACGGCCCAGACUCCUACGGGAGGCAGCAGUGGGGAAUCUUAGACAAUGGGGGAAACCCUGAUCUAGCCAUGCCGCGUGAGCGAUGAAGGCCUUAGGGUUGUAAAGCUCUUUCAGUGGGGAAGAUAAUGACUGUACCCACAGAAGAAGCCCCGGCUAACUCCGUGCCAGCAGCCGCGGUAAUACGGAGGGGGCUAGCGUUGUUCGGAAUUACUGGGCGUAAAGCGCACGUAGGCGGACUGGAAAGUCAGAGGUGAAAUCCCAGGGCUCAACCUUGGAACUGCCUUUGAAACUCCCAUUCUUGAGGUC